AGGAGGUACUCAGUUGGAGAAAUUGCUGGCGCUUAAGUAGGAAGGGUCCGUUCAGGAUUACCGGCGUGCUAGAAUGCAAUUUCGUCAAUGGAUUAACUCCCAUUAUACGGGCAGAAAUAAGAAUGUUGAAGCCUCGUGGGUUAGCCCACACCAUGGGGCUAGCCCAACGGGUCGAAGACAGGAAUGAAGCAAUUGGCAUGGCCCAACUACAAUUAGGAGUAAUAUAAACAGCACUGCCUACAGCCCACUUAAUUACUCCCAAAACUCUCAGAAUGUCAAUACGACCUCACUCCAGCGACUUCUAGCAGCACCUUUGAAGCCCUUGACCCCCAACCCAUGCGGUCCAGUAAUCGAAAAAGGGGGGACACCAUACUAAAGAUUGAUAGAUGCGGAGCUUCAGCUGAAGGGGGAGAAAGGAUUAUGCUAUAAAUGUGAUGAGAAAUACCAACCGGGACACAAGUGCCGCCUCAAGGAGUUGCAUGUCCUCGUUGUUCAAGAUAAGGAAGGAUUGGAAGAAAUGGUGGAAUCGGGAGCUGAGGUAGGAGAAAAUUAUGUACACAAAGUAGUGGAACUAUCUCUUAACUCGGUGGUUGGGCUGACCACCCCGAAGACAAAGAAGGUGACUGGGUAUAUGUGAGGUCACACUGUAGUUGUGCUCAUUGAUUGUGGGACGACUACAACUUUAUAUCCUCGGAAUUGGUAAAGAGCUGAACAUUCCGGUGACAGGGACUAACAGCUACGGAGUCACUAUGGGAACAGGUACCACAGUCAAGGGAGGAGGAAUUUGCAAAGGAGUAGUCGUGUCACUGCCCAUCAUCGAGGUGGUGGAUGAUUUUCUCCCUCUUAUGCUGGGUGUCGACCUGAUUUUGGGAAUGAAGUGGCUAGGUACUCUGGGCCAGACACAGGUGUAUUAGGGAAGGCUAAUAAUGAAGUUUAAGGUGGAAGGGCAUUCGAUCAUGUUGCAGGGAGACUCCAGUCUACAAAAGACUUAGGUCUCCAUUAAAUCAAUGGUCAGGAAUUUCAAGGAGGAAGACCAAGGAGUACUUCUGGAAUUGGGAAGCCUGAAGCUGGAAGAUGAAAGACAAGGGAUUAAGGCAGUUGAUGAGGUCACCGAUGUAUUAUAGCGUCACCACCAAGUCUUUUGAGUGGCCAAACGAGUUACCUUCGGUGUGUUCCCACGAUCAUGCGAUUGUGCUCCAAAUCGGGGUAGCCUCGAUGAAUUUAAGGCCAUAUCGUUACCUGUAUUUCCAAAAGAUCGAGAUAGAGAAGCUAGUGCGAAAAAUGCUAGAGGCAGGGUUAAUCCAACCCAGCUAUAGCCCAUUUUCGAGCCCGGUUCUGUUGGUUAAAAAGAAGGAUGGGAGUUGGCGCUUUUGCGUAGAUUACCGGGCAUUAAACAAAGUAACAGUUCCAGAUAGAUUUCCUAUACCAGUGAUUGAUGAAUAGUUAGAUGAGCUUCAUGGGGCGAACAUCUUUUCUGAGCUGAACUUAAAAUCAGGGUACCACCAGAUACGAAUGAGGCGGGAAGAUGUGCCAAAAAUGGCCUAUCGAACUCACGAGGGCCACUAUGAACUUAUGAUCAUGCCGUUUGGACUGACAAAUGCAUUGGCUACAUUCUAAGGGUUGAUGAAUGAUGUAUUCCGACCUUAUCUCAGAAAAUUUGUGCUGGUUUUCAUUAAUGACAUUUUAAUAAACAGCACAAUGUUGAAGAAACACCAAGCACACUUGGAUACUGUCCUCACGUGCUGACAACAACACAAGCUAUAUGUAAAUGAGAAGAAGUGCCCAUUUGGGCAGCCUCAACUGGAAUAUUUGUGCCAUACUAUUUCUGGGAAUGGAGUGGCAGCUGAUAAGUCUAAGGUCGAGGCAAUGUGUAACUGGCCUAAGCCUAAAAAUUUUCAAGAGCUUCGUAGAUUCUUGGGUCUCACCGGCUACUAUCGCCGUUUUGUGGAAGGUUAUAUUAAGUUCGCUUGGCCACUAACUUGAAUUGUUGAAAAAAGAUGGGUUCAUCAGGAGUAAGGCAGCAGAGGAUGCUUUCUGCAACCUGAAGAAAGCUAUGACAAAAGUUCCGAUCCUAGCUUUGCCAAACUUCUCACAAGUUUUCGUGGUAGAGACGGAUGCCUCGGGUCAAGGGUUAGGGGCAGUUUUAAUGCAAAGGUAGCACCCAAUCGCUUACUACAGUCAGGUGCUUCCUCUUAGUGAUAAAUGCAAGUAGCUUAUGAACGCGAAUUGGUGGCCAAACUGAAGUCGUCAACCGUUCUUUGGAAACUUACGUUGCUUCGCCUCAAGUAAACCCCACUCAUGGAGACAAUGGUUAUCAUGGGCAGAAUUCUGAUAUAACACCUCAUUUCACACUGCAACGAAGCACGCUCCUUUUUAGAUUGUAUAUGGCUGUGAUUCCCCACCUGUUCUACCGUUUGAGAAAGGUAUUACAGGAUUAUCGUCAGUUGAACUGUCUUUAGUCAGAAGAGAUGAAGUCCUCCAACACCUUAAGAUGCAUCUGCUACGUGCCCAACAUAGGAUGAAACAUUAGGCAAAUAGGCACCGUCGCGACAUCCAGUUUGAAGUUGGGAACUUGGUUUACCUGAAAUUACUUCCUUACCAUCAAACCUCAGUGGCUCGUUGCUCUUAAGCAAAGCUCUCUCCCAGGUAUUAUGGACCUUUCGCAAUUGAGGCCAGAGUUGGGCAAGUGGCUUACGGGUUGAAACUUUCUCUUGAAUCGGCCAUACAUCCUGUUUUUCAUGUAUCACCACUUCGGAAGGCAGUAGGAAAUGUUCAGACUAUCUCCCAUCUUCCAGAACAUCUAGUCGUGGAAAAUCAGUACAAAGGUAAAGCCUGAGUCCAUGUUGCAGAUUCGUACCAGUUCAGUAGGAGACUCGGUUCCUGAAGUGUUGAUCAAGUGGAAGAACUCCCCCUGACUUUGAAGCUACAUGGGAAUCUAUUAAGAACAUCCAUCGGCAAUUUCUUGACUUCUACUUUGAGGACAAGGUGGAUUUCGGGGUUGGGGCAGGUGAUGAUAGGCCCCCGAUAAUAUUUACAUACACACGAAAGAAUAAGGAGGCAACCAAGUCAGAGGCCAAGUAACAGAACAGAUGCCAAGUCAGCUGAGUAAUAGAAAUCAAUUUUUAUUUGCAUGACGUUUUGUUAUUCUGUUGGCUGUUGGGGAGGUAGGGUUGUGAGUCAGUUGGAAGAUUGUCAAUAAAUGUAAAGGAAAGGGGGGAGGGGUAGAAUAUUCAUUCAGAAAUCAAGAGUCUAGUAUGAGACUUGGAGCCUCUUGAAUGCUCCCAGUUGUUCUGUUUUCUACUGUUCAAUAAAAGUCAU
Molecule: long non-coding RNA, 3318 nt
Filed under: Olea europaea subsp. europaea
Lineage: Eukaryota; Viridiplantae; Streptophyta; Magnoliopsida; Lamiales; Oleaceae
Source: RNAcentral